Non-coding RNA from Hyaloscypha variabilis F, 126 nucleotides. The record is from the annotation of a GenBank genome assembly. NCBI's taxonomy places the organism in Eukaryota, Fungi, Ascomycota, Leotiomycetes, Helotiales, Hyaloscyphaceae.
GUGCAGUUAGCUCAGCUGGUUAGAGCGUGUAUGUUUGAUCGAACCUCGCACCGAUGCGUUUGAUACUAAUGAGCCUCUAGGGUGCUAAUAACGCCAAGGUCGCGAGUUCGAUCCUCGUAGUGACCA